RNAcentral lists this non-coding RNA (162 nucleotides) under Clostridium sp. Its description in RNAcentral is "GlcN6P sequence". It matches the Rfam family "glmS glucosamine-6-phosphate activated ribozyme aptamer". Rfam says of the family: This entry contains a glucosamine-6-phosphate activated ribozyme that is found in the mRNA for GlmS. GlmS is an enzyme that uses fructose-6-phosphate and glutamine to generate glucosamine-6-phosphate. The ribozyme catalyses self cleavage of the glmS mRNA that is thought to regulate GlmS activity. Lineage: Bacteria; Bacillati; Bacillota; Clostridia; Eubacteriales; Clostridiaceae. The record is from RNAcentral.
GUUAUAGUUAAAGCGCCCGAACUAGAAUAAUAUAAUUAUUUUAGUUGACGAGGAUGGGGAGUAUCGAAAUCUUCGGCGGAUGCCCCACGGUAAACGCACUACCGUUAACGAUUGAUAAAAGCAGAAAGUGAUUUUUGUUACAAAAUCAAUCCGGUGUUAAAA